This 74-nucleotide transfer RNA is filed under the name Caudoviricetes sp. RNAcentral's name for it is "tRNA-Leu". It matches the Rfam family "tRNA". From Rfam's summary of the family: Transfer RNA (tRNA) molecules are approximately 80 nucleotides in length. Their secondary structure includes four short double-helical elements and three loops (D, anti-codon, and T loops). Lineage: Duplodnaviria; Heunggongvirae; Uroviricota; Caudoviricetes. The record is from RNAcentral.
GUCCGUAUAGCAGAACAGGAAUAUGCGUCUGACUUAGAAUCAGAAUUUUGUAGGUUCGACUCCUACUGCGGACA